AAUAAGACAACUUUUCAGUUUAUAGAUAUAAUGUUUGACUCUUCAUCUUAUUUAAAAUUCUUUUACGAUUAAUAUUUUUAUUUUUAUUAGAUGAUAAAAUAUAAAUAGUAUUUUACGUAUGACUAGUUUUUUGAGUUUUUAAAUAAAAUUUUCAAAUGAGACGGAUGGUCAAACGCUGGAAAAAAAUCCAAAG
This 193-nucleotide microRNA precursor is filed under the name Oryza brachyantha (malo sina). RNAcentral describes it as "MIR812 microRNA precursor family". It matches the Rfam family "MIR812 microRNA precursor family". Lineage: Eukaryota; Viridiplantae; Streptophyta; Magnoliopsida; Poales; Poaceae. The record is from Rfam by way of RNAcentral.